This is a non-coding RNA of Acanthosepion pharaonis, 87 nucleotides long. Lineage: Eukaryota; Metazoa; Mollusca; Cephalopoda; Sepiida; Sepiidae. The record is from the annotation of a GenBank genome assembly.
UUCCCAUAUGAUCACCAAAGUUAAGCAAUGUUGAACCUGGUAAGUACCUAGAUGGGUGACCAGUUGGGAAUGCCGGGUGUUGUAAGC